RNAcentral lists this small RNA (88 nucleotides) under Brenneria goodwinii. RNAcentral's name for it is "KDPG-aldolase RNA". It matches the Rfam family "KDPG-aldolase RNA". The record is from Rfam by way of RNAcentral. Lineage: Bacteria; Pseudomonadati; Pseudomonadota; Gammaproteobacteria; Enterobacterales; Pectobacteriaceae.
GGUGCGGUCGGACAUCUGUAAUUCAUGCAGAUCCCUGUGGCAGGGGCGCGCUAUAUGAUUAAUGAUUGCCCAACGGCAUGACUGGAGA